Canis lupus familiaris (dog) is the source of this 2604-nucleotide long non-coding RNA. RefSeq lists it as uncharacterized. NCBI's taxonomy places the organism in Eukaryota, Metazoa, Chordata, Mammalia, Carnivora, Canidae. The record is from RefSeq and is a predicted model, not a curated record. The transcript has 4 exons.
CUCUUCCGGUGGGUGAGGGCAGGUCCUCCUCCCGACCGGCAGAGGGCGCGAGAGCACGGGGCUCGAGGCCUCGGAGGCUCUCUGGCACGGAUGUGACGUCACGGCCGGAAGCCGGCUUUCCGGGCUCAGGGAGGCGGUGUCGCCCCCCGGCUGUCGCGUCUGUUCGGUGAGAAAACCAAGCCCCCGAAGCCCGCAGUCCAUGGCAGUGAGUGGUCGGCCCCCUGCAGGAUGCAGGCUGCUCCUCGGGGACUGAGCCCAAGGGGCCAGAUGCCCACCCGCCUCCCCCAAGACUCCCGUAUUCAGACGACACCUAACGCCUACUCUACCAAGCACAAACCCAAGCUCCAGGUGACACAGGCAGUUGGGAGACGCUCCCUGUCUUUGUGAGAUGAGCCAGUGUGUGAGAAGUAGAAAAAUCACCUUGUGAUCAACAUUUCUUUAAUACAGAUGGAAAUGACAAACAAAAACAACUGAAAAGAAAUGACUGUUUAUUAUUCUCAAGCAAGUCACAUCAACUUCUGUGUAUAUCCUUCUCAGAAAAGUAAAUUUCACACUCUUGCAGCAAAUGGAACAUGAAACAUUUGAAAGGCUCCAGUGAAAAAUCUGUUCAAACUCCGUGCCAGCUGCUGUCAUUUUAAAAGCCACAGAAGCAUCUCCCCAGCGAACCUGCCUCAGACAAGGCAUGAGCGGCUCCAGAUCUGCUCGGCCAUCAAAAUGGAAGGAGUCUCAGAACUAGCCUCAUGGAUGAGGGCUGAGCCCCACACAGUGUGGAAAGGAGACCAAGGGAGACCCCCAGAACACCCCCACACCUGGCUGACCAGGCCCCUUGCGCUGCAGAGGAAGCGACACAGCUGGAAGGGACAGGAUUUAUGUUGCAUACUUGAACUACAGCGAGUGUAAGACUGGUCCUAUUUACAGGGCAGAAACACUACAGGUGGAGCGUGGGGGGCAGCAGAGCGAGCACCAGAGUCCUGGCCAGAGGGUGCCCCUGCCUGCUGCCUUUCCCACAUCUCCCAGAGGCAUCUCUGCGGCCCCUGCUGGAGUUCUCCGGAGGGGGGACAGGGUCCGCUCACAUGAUGCUUGCUGGAGUGAAGACAGGGCCCACGCACAAGGUGUCUGUGAUCUCCCAGCCACAGGACAGAGGCUUGCACAUGCCCUCGGUGUCCUCGUCUUGUUCUGCAGGCAGCAGCUGCCCUCGAAGUGCUUCCCUGCAGGCAAGAGAGGGGCACUGGAGGCAGCCAGCAUGGGGCCCACAGGCCAGGGGCUCCUGAAGGCUCCCUGCACCAGAAGUCCCAGCCCCUGGUAUGUAGGGUUCCCACCUGGGCCCAGAGCCCAGCCUAGUGCAGGAGUGAGGAUGAGUCUGAUGACUUCUUUCCCCACUGGUCUCUUUUCCCCAGUGGUCUUCCUCCACAGUAAGGGAAAAGGAACCCAUAUUUAUGGAGCACUGACUACAUGCCACACACUGUGCCAGGCACCUUAUAGUAUCUAAUUGUGUUCCCCAAACCACAUAAGGGCAGCAUUAUUAUCCCCAUUUUACCAGUGAAGAAAUUGAGACUGAGAAGGAAGUGACCUGUACAAGGUCACAUCCCUAGAAGGUGGUAGAACCAGGAUUCAACCCAAUUCUCUCAGUCCAAAGCCCACAUUCUUUAUAUCCCAGGCAUAGGACUUAAAAAAAAAAAAUCAUCUCCUGCCCCUCUCCAAAAUCCUACAGACCUACCUACCAAGGUUGAUAAAUGGCUCCACCAUCUGACCAGCUGCUCAGCCACAAGUCAGGAAUCUUGUUCCCCAGCCCAGUCUAUCCCUGUUGAGCCCAGGUCCUGAGCUUUCUCACAGGUGUAGCCACUUCUUUCCAUUCCCAGUGCCACCACUGUCUCUACCCAGGGCUAUCCAGUCUCUCUGCUCUGCCCCUGCCUCCGCCAGACAAUUCUGGCCCAGGUUCAUCUUUCCAGGAGGCAAACACCUGCACUUGAGUGGUCAGCAGCUUCCGUCUGCUCUCAGGCCCUGCCCAACCUGGUCUCCCACCUGCAGGAAGGCCUCCCUCUUUGCUGACAUGGACACUUCAACAGCAAGUCAGUGGUCAGGCUUGUAGGAGGCUCCCCAGGCCAAGAACCCUCUGUCUCCUUAUCUGUCAAAAUGGGUUGAUCCAAUUUCCUAAAAAGCAUCAGUGACUGACCCUCUAGUGCCUUCAAGAUCAACUCCAGCCUGGGCCUCCAAGGUCCUUCUCCAUCCAGUCUUCUGCACAGGCCACUCCAGCCAGAUGCAACUAUUUGCAGUUCUUUGAAUGAACUGGCCUCAAACCCCCACAUCUCUCAGCCCAGACUGCCCCCCACCAUCAGCUUUCCUGCACCUAACUUCCCCUAGCCCUGGCACCUCUGCCACCCGGCUGUCUCUCCCCAGUGAUCUUUCUGCUCUCUGUGCCAGUGUCUGUGUGUGCAGGUCACCACUCUGCCUUGGGUGCCUGUUAUCCCCUCAGGACCUAGCACAGAGCCAGGCUCUAAAGCAGGACAUUUUGGCAGAAUUCCUUGGACGUGGGGAAUUUCUUGGCACAGCCAUUUUAAUACAUCAAAUUUUUUCAUCUCUAAUAAUGAAUAACCCGACUCCCUA